This is an RNA transcript of Spinacia oleracea (spinach), 1101 nucleotides long. RefSeq lists it as uncharacterized. The record is from RefSeq and is a predicted model, not a curated record. The transcript is spliced from 7 exons. NCBI's taxonomy places the organism in Eukaryota, Viridiplantae, Streptophyta, Magnoliopsida, Caryophyllales, Amaranthaceae.
UCCAUCUCCUAUAACCAGCAACCCAUCCAAAUUUAUCCAUUUUCUCUGAAAAAUAAGCUCCACGAAAAUGGCUAGGGAGGCAAAACCUUGGUUCCGUUAAGAAGAAGGAGAAAUCUCAGUAAAAUCUCGAUUUGCCGAAAUCUCAUUACUUUAAAUCCUUAAUUUUUUUGCUUAAUUCAAUGAAACGUUGUCGCUAAGCCGUCGAGUAUUGACAGCUGAAGAGUGAACGCAAAAACAGUUGAGCCAGAAACUAGGGUUUUAUAGUCGGAGGAGAGAGAAAAUCUUGAGAAACAAUGGCGAAAUUCAACGAAGUACAGAAGAAAAGGAGAGCACUAAUUUCACAGAAUAAGAGAGCAGUGCACGGUGUUCCCUUCACUAAGAAGCUUAAACGCCAGACGCAACUUCAAUCUGUCUCCGGGAAGCGCAAGAAAAAGAACCUCAAAAAAUGGCGUCGGGAUCAAAAGGAGUUGAUAGAGAAGGGUCUUGUUACUUUGGAUGAUGUUGACAUGGCUCCCGCCGAUGGUCGAUUGUAUGCGAUGGAACUAGGGCAGCAGAUUCAUCAAAUAGGUGGACCUGCUAGGGGGAUAUUAUGAUGAUGGAGACAAUGUAAAGUACGGGCUGCAGGGGAACAUAAACCUGGUACUGAGAUUGCUGCUGAAACUUCUGCUGCCAUGGCUGCUGCUUCUAUUGUCUUCCGCAAAACUGAUAAAAAAAUAUGCUCGCCAACUCCUCAACAAGGUUAAAUACGUUGAACCUCAAAACCAUGUGAGGGUCUCGCAAGCAGAGCUCUUGAUCAUAUUGAUAAGAUUGAUGGCGGGGUUGUUUUCAUCGAACUAUACCUCAAAUAUUGAUAAGAAUAUUUAUAAGCAGUUCUGGUAGCAGCAGUUUUGGGAGCUAGCAGCAAUUCUGACAGCAGCAGGGCAAACAGCCAGCCGGUGCCGCUCUUAAUAGCUCCAACAGCAAUGCAGCCAGAAAAGGCUGAGGAGGCGGACAAUUUCAGAACCAGCUUGUUAAAAUGAAUGGCUCUUGUUUCUAUCAUCUAGCCUGUUGUUUGGAUAAUUUGUGUUGUUUGUUUUCAAUAUGUCAAAGGAACUUUGGUUU